RNAcentral lists this unclassified non-coding RNA (329 nucleotides) under soil metagenome. RNAcentral describes it as "partial contains 5.8S ribosomal RNA, internal transcribed spacer 2, and large subunit ribosomal RNA". The stretch from base 1 to 120 matches the Rfam family "5.8S ribosomal RNA", at positions 35 to 154 of the family's 154-position model. The record is from RNAcentral.
GAUGAAGAACGCAGCGAAAUGCGAUAAGUAAUGUGAAUUGCAGAAUUCAGUGAAUCAUCGAAUCUUUGAACGCACAUUGCGCCCCCUGGUAUUCCGGGGGGCAUGCCUGUCCGAGCGUCAUUACAACCCUCAAGCUCAGCUUGGUGUUGGGCCCCGCCGCCCCGGCGGGCCCUAAAGUCAGUGGCGGUGCCGUCCGGCUCCGAGCGUAGUAAUUCUUCUCGCUCUGGAGGUCCGGUCGUGUGCUCGCCAGCAACCCCCAAUUUUUUUCAGGUUGACCUCGGAUCAGGUAGUGAUACCCGCUGAACUUAAGCAUAUCAAUAAGCGGAGGA